CNGNNNGNGCUAUACAUGCAAGUCGAGCGAGCUCUUUUAACUUGGAAUGUGCUAUUGCUGGCUGGAAUCUUUUUUGGAUAGCGGAGCGAGUGUGAGACUGGCGAGGAAGACCUGCCCUUUAUGUUGCGAUACCACUUGUAACCUUGGGCUACUACCAAAUAUAACGCAUAAGCGCAUGCUCCCGCUAGGAAAGGCGGCUUUCGAGCUGUCUGCUAGGAUUUGCCCGCGACCCAUUAGGUAUUGGUAAGGGGCGACUUACCAAGGAAUGAUACAUAGACGAGUUCCAGAUGAUCGGCCACAUUGGGACUGAGACACUGACCAAACUCCCACAGGAGGCAGGGAGGGGGAAUCUUGGAAUCUGGACGCAUGUAUGAUGGAGCAACGCCGCGUGAGUGAAGAAGGUUUUCAGGUUUUAAAACUCUGUUGUUCUGGAAGAAGGAUGUAAAUAGUAACUGAUUCAUAUUUGACGGUAAUCAAGCAGAAAGUCACGGCUCCUACGUGCCAGCAGCCGCGGUAAUACGUAGGUGGCAAGCGUUGUCCGGAUUUAUUGAUUUAUAAAGCGAACGCAGGCGGGAGAACAAGUCAGCUGUGAAAGCCCUCGGCUUAACCGGGGAAUGGCAGCUGAAACUGUUUUUCUUGAAACUUGAAGAGGAGAGUGGAACUCCAUGUGUAGCGGUGGAAUGCGAAAAUAUAUGGAAUAACACCAGUGGCCAAUGCGGCUCUCUGGUCUGUAACUGACGCUUAAGUUCGAAAGCAUGGGUAGUGAACAGGAUUAGAUACCCUGGUCCUCCAUGCCGCAAACCAUGAACGCUAAAUGUUGGGAGUUUUCCGCCUCCCACCCUUGCAUGUAACGCAUUACGCAUUCCGCCUGGCGACUGCGACCGCCAAGCUAAAACUCAAAAGAAUUGACGAGGUGACCGCAGAACCGGUGGAGCAUGGGGUUUGUGUCUAAGCUCCGCGAAGAACCUUACCACCUUCUUGACAUCUUGACACCUUUCUGUCGACCUAGGAUAUUCGCUUCCUGCGCACCCUGGGAAACAGAGGUGGACGGCGGUGGGUGGCAUGGGUCUGCUCGCCGUCCGUCGAGAUCGUUGGAGGAAUGUAUUGGGUGCCUCUGACAAAUUCGCAGCGAACCA
RNAcentral lists this ribosomal RNA (1136 nucleotides) under Lactobacillus sp. Tajabadi-1. RNAcentral's name for it is "bacterial SSU rRNA". It matches the Rfam family "Bacterial small subunit ribosomal RNA", at positions 40 to 1099 of the family's 1533-position model. Lineage: Bacteria; Bacillati; Bacillota; Bacilli; Lactobacillales; Lactobacillaceae. The record is from RNAcentral.